RNAcentral lists this ribosomal RNA (369 nucleotides) under uncultured bacterium. RNAcentral describes it as "bacterial SSU rRNA". It matches the Rfam family "Bacterial small subunit ribosomal RNA", at positions 527 to 896 of the family's 1533-position model. The record is from RNAcentral.
GUAGGGUGCGAGCGUUAAUCGGAAUUACUGGGCGUAAAGCGUGCGCAGGCGGUGAUGUAAGACAGUUGUGAAAUCCCCGGGCUCAACCUGGGAAUUGCAUCUGUGACUGCAUCGCUAGAGUACGGUAGAGGGGGAUGGAAUUCCGCGUGUAGCAGUGAAAUGCGUAGAUAUGCGGAGGAACACCGAUGGCGAAGGCAAUCCCCUGGACCUGUACUGACGCUCAUGCACGAAAGCGUGGGGAGCAAACAGGAUUAGAUACCCUGGUAGUCCACGCCCUAAACGAUGUCAACUGGUUGUUGGGUGCAUUAGUACUCAGUAACGAAGCUAACGCGUGAAGUUGACCGCCUGGGGAGUACGGCCGCAAGGUUG